This 85-nucleotide transfer RNA is filed under the name Escherichia coli K-12. Its description in RNAcentral is "tRNA from Escherichia coli K-12 (PDB 3EQ4, chain Y)". The stretch from base 1 to 69 matches the Rfam family "tRNA". From Rfam's summary of the family: Transfer RNA (tRNA) molecules are approximately 80 nucleotides in length. The record is from RNAcentral. Lineage: Bacteria; Pseudomonadati; Pseudomonadota; Gammaproteobacteria; Enterobacterales; Enterobacteriaceae.
CGGAUUUAGCUCAGUUGGGAGAGCGCCAGACUGAAGAUCUGGACCUGUGUUCGAUCCACAGAAUUCGCACCCUCCCGUAGGGGUU